UGGGGAAUAUUGGACAAUGGGCGCAAGCCUGAUCCAGCCAUGCCGCGUGUGUGAUGAAGGCCUUAGGGUUGUAAAGCACUUUCACCGAUGAAGAUAAUGACGGUAGUCGGAGAAGAAGCCCCGGCUAACUUCGUGCCAGCAGCCGCGGUAAUACGAAGGGGGCUAGCGUUGUUCGGAAUCACUGGGCGUAAAGCGCACGUAGGCGGAUUGUUAAGUGAGGGGUGAAAUCCCAGGGCUCAACCCUGGAACU
Molecule: ribosomal RNA, 250 nt
Filed under: uncultured bacterium
Lineage: Bacteria
Description: partial 16S ribosomal RNA
Rfam family: Bacterial small subunit ribosomal RNA
Source: RNAcentral